UGAGAUUUAAAGAGCCGCAGUAUCCUGACUGUGCUAAGGUAGCAUAAUCAUUAGUCUUUUAAUUGGAGACUGGUAUGAAUGGUUAAACGAGAAAUCAACUUUUUUUGUUGUAAAGCUUGAAUUUAACUUUUUAGUGAAAAGGCUAAAAUUUUUCAAAAAGACGAGAAGACCCUAUAGAGUUUUAUAACCAAGGGAAUAUUUCUUUCUUAGAUUUUUAUGAGAGGUAUUUACUGUAGUUAUUUUGUUGGGGCGACAUUUAGAUAUAAAAAACUCUUUAUUUUUAAAACUUUUAUGAAAGGUAAAUUGAUCCUUUAAAAAAGAUCAUAAGAAAAAAUUACCUUAGGGAUAACAGCGUAAUCUUUUUUGAGAGUUCUAAUCGACAAAAAGGUUUGCGACCUCGAUGUUGGACUAAAAUUAAGGCAGGGUGCAGCAGUUCUGCUAUAAGGUCUGUUCGACCUAUAAUUUUUUACACGAUCUGAGUUCAGACCGGCGUAAGCCAGGUUG
RNAcentral lists this ribosomal RNA (504 nucleotides) under Chelonibia testudinaria. Its description in RNAcentral is "partial 16S ribosomal RNA". It matches the Rfam family "Bacterial large subunit ribosomal RNA", at positions 1913 to 2633 of the family's 2925-position model. The record is from RNAcentral. Lineage: Eukaryota; Metazoa; Arthropoda; Thecostraca; Balanomorpha; Chelonibiidae.